Oncorhynchus keta (chum salmon) is the source of this 644-nucleotide long non-coding RNA. RefSeq lists it as uncharacterized. The transcript is spliced from 3 exons. The record is from RefSeq and is a predicted model, not a curated record. Lineage: Eukaryota; Metazoa; Chordata; Actinopteri; Salmoniformes; Salmonidae.
GUUUAUGUAGUACUGUAGGUGUUAUGAGAGUUUAUGUAGUACUGCAUGUGUUAUGAGAGUUUAUGUAGUACUGUAUGUGUUAUGAUAGUUUAUGUAGUACUGUAGGUGUUAUGAGAGUUUAUGUAGUACUGUAGGUGUUAUGAGAGUUUAUGUAGUACUGUAGGUGUUAUGAGAGUUUAUGUAGUACUGUAUGUGUUAUGAGAGUUUAUGUAGUACUGUAUGUGUUAUGAGAGUUUAUGUAGUACUGUAGGUGUUAUGAGAGUUUAUGUAGUACUGUAUGUGUUAUGAGAGUUUAUGUAGUACUGUAUGUGUUAUGAGAGUUUAUGUAGUACUGUAUGUGUUAUGAGAGUUUAUGUAGUACUGUAGGUGUUAUGAGAGUUUAUGUAGUACUGUAUGUGUUAUGAGAGUUUAUGUAGUACUGUAUGUGUUAUGAGAGUUUAUUUAGUACUGUAUGUGUUAUGAGAGUUUAUGUAGUACUGUAGGUGUUAUGAGAGUUUAUGUAGUACUGCAUGUGUUAUGAGAGUUUAUGUAGCACUGUAGGUGUUAUGAGAGUUUAUGUAGUACUGCAUGUGUUAUGAGAGUUUAUGUAGCACUGUAGGUGUUAGUAGAGUUUCUGUAGUACUGUAGGUGUUAUGAGAGUUUAU